CCUGCUAGAUCCUUCAUGAAACCAAACUUCUCCGACAGAUCAUCUUCAAACGAGCUUCCACAUCAGGCGAAUCCCAGAUGGACUUCUCUAGCAAUCAGAUUUCUAUCGGGUUUCACCAACGAAAAGUCUCCAUCCGAGCUUCUACAGUAGAUGACUCCCACCUGUAGUAUCAGUGCCUAAGGUAUCCGACAAUAGUAGACUCGUUAGCAGCCUCGAAGACAUCCGAGCUUCUCCCAGAUCGAUGGGAUAGAGAGCCAUCCCGCUCCAUCAGAUGUUCCAGCUGAGCUCCAGCCAACAGAUCCGAACUCUCUGGCAAGUCACGACAAUGGCCACGACCCUGCUCCACUCUCUGCAAUGGAUUCCACGUGGCUCCACUACUCUCUGGCAAGUCACGACAAUGGACACCACUCUACUCUCCGUAACAAACUCCACGUGGCUCUGAAUGACUCUUGACGCCACUACUCUCUGUAACAAACUCUGGGUGGCUCUGAACAGCCCACUACCAGGCGGUUAUAGACGUCGUUGUCAAUU
Molecule: long non-coding RNA, 531 nt
Filed under: Elaeis guineensis (African oil palm)
Lineage: Eukaryota; Viridiplantae; Streptophyta; Magnoliopsida; Arecales; Arecaceae
Description: long non-coding RNA (EGUI_LNC080974)
Source: RNAcentral